GCUAGGAGGCGUCGAGCGGCGGACGGGUGAGUAAUGCAUAGGAAUCUACCCGGUAGUGGGGGAUAACCUGGGGAAACCCAGGCUAAUACCGCAUACGUCCUACGGGAGAAAGCAGGGGAUCUUCGGACCUUGCGCUAUCGGAUGAGCCUAUGUCGGAUUAGCUAGUUGGUGAGGUAACGGCUCACCAAGGCUGCGAUCCGUAGCUGGUCUGAGAGGAUGAUCAGCCACAUCGGGACUGAGACACGGCCCGAACUCCUACGGGAGGCAGCAGUGGGGAAUAUUGGACAAUGGGCGAAAGCCUGAUCCAGCCAUGCCGCGUGUGUGAAGAAGGCCUUCGGGUUGUAAAGCACUUUCAGUGAGGAAGAAAGCCUUGAGGCUAAUACCCUYGAGGGAGGACAUCACUCACAGAAGAAGCACCGGCUAACUCCGUGCCAGCAGCCGCGGUAAUACGGAGGGUGCGAGCGUUAAUCGGAAUUACUGGGCGUAAAGCGCGCGUAGGCGGCYUGAUAAGCCGGUUGUGA
This 521-nucleotide ribosomal RNA is filed under the name Halomonas shengliensis. RNAcentral's name for it is "bacterial SSU rRNA". It matches the Rfam family "Bacterial small subunit ribosomal RNA", at positions 79 to 597 of the family's 1533-position model. The record is from RNAcentral. Lineage: Bacteria; Pseudomonadati; Pseudomonadota; Gammaproteobacteria; Oceanospirillales; Halomonadaceae.